Molecule: non-coding RNA, 96 nt
Organism: Acanthosepion pharaonis
Lineage: Eukaryota; Metazoa; Mollusca; Cephalopoda; Sepiida; Sepiidae
Source: the annotation of a GenBank genome assembly
UGAAAAACCAGUUCCCGUACGAUCACCAAAGUUAAGCAACGUCAUGCUUGGUCAAUACCUAGAUGGGUAAGCGCUUGGAAAUUUUACGUGCUGAAA